AAAAAAAAAAAAAAAAAAGAUGGGCUGCACCUCAAGAUUACUUUAAGUAAAAAUUAAAAUGUUUGAUGAAUCUGAACAGUACAACAAUUGCCAAAGGAAUCUUUAAAUCAGACGCUGUUCUUCUUGACUGUGGCCUCUGCUGUCUUCAAUUUAUUUUAUGAUAUUUUAUUUUGAUGUUCAUUUUCUAUUAUUAUUAACUAUUUUGUAAAAUUAUUUUGGUUUCUCUCUGUACUGUGGGUGGACUUAAUGGCUGUAUAUAGAUUCUACCAAAAGGAAUAACUGAGUAGUUUAAUAGACAGAGUGAGUUGACACGGCUGCUAUCAUAUAUUUGAUUUGUGUCAACUCCAAUUAAUCUGGAACUAUGAAGAGACAAAUCUUGCAGUAUACAAUAGGAUCAACUCAUACCAUCACCACAAUUGUGCCCAUCAUUGGAUUUGACUGAGACAAUGACUACAAUUGUGCCCAUCAUUGU
RNAcentral lists this unclassified non-coding RNA (472 nucleotides) under Hevea brasiliensis (rubber tree). The record is from RNAcentral. Lineage: Eukaryota; Viridiplantae; Streptophyta; Magnoliopsida; Malpighiales; Euphorbiaceae.